Molecule: ribosomal RNA, 301 nt
Filed under: uncultured bacterium
Lineage: Bacteria
Description: partial 16S ribosomal RNA
Rfam family: Bacterial small subunit ribosomal RNA
Source: RNAcentral
CAGCCGCCACGGUAAUACGUAGGUCUCGAGCGUUGUCCGGAUUUAUUGGGCGUAAAGCGAGCGCAGGCGGUUAGAUAAGUCUGAAGUUAAAGGCUGUGGCUUAACCAUAGUACGCUUUGGAAACUGUUUAACUUGAGUGCAGAAGGGGAGAGUGGAAUUCCAUGUGUAGCGGUGAAAUGCGUAGAUAUAUGGAGGAACACCGGUGGCGAGAGCGGCUCUCUGGCUUGCAACUGACGCUGAGGCUCGAAAGCGUGGGGAGCAAACAGGAUUAGAUACCCCAGUAGUCCCUGUCUCUUAUACA